AAGUCGUAACAAGGUUUCCGUAGGUGAACCUGCGGAAGGAUCAUUAUUGAAAUUGUUAUACACAUGUUUUUAUUGCAUAAACUUUUACACUAUUAUUACAGUCAACGAAAGAAAUAAUCAGAA
This 123-nucleotide unclassified non-coding RNA is filed under the name plant metagenome. Its description in RNAcentral is "partial contains small subunit ribosomal RNA and internal transcribed spacer 1". The stretch from base 1 to 46 matches the Rfam family "Eukaryotic small subunit ribosomal RNA", at positions 1786 to 1831 of the family's 1831-position model. The record is from RNAcentral.